GAAAUAAUGAAUUAGUAUCUAAAAUUAGACCCGAAGCCUAGUGAUCUUACCAUGGUCAGGGUUAUAAAAGCCCGAACGGUUUAUCGUUGUAAAGAUAUCCGAUGAACUGUGGUAAGUUAGUGAAAGACAAAACUGACUAGGAUAGCUGGUUUUCUGCGAAACCUAUAUAAGUAGGUAAUUCAAGUUACAUCAUAGCAGGUACAGAACUGUGAUCUCAGGCAACUUAUAAUUUCUUAUCUAGGUAUUGCCUAGAUAAGAAAUAAUUUUGCAUAUAUCGGGGAAUCGUGAGGAUUUUAUCGGUGAGUAUUCGCACUCGGAAGGGCAAUGAUGAAGAUUAAAAUGUAUUGAAUAAUCGGACAUAGUACGAUAAGGUUGUAUGUCUAAAGGGAAACAGCCCAGAACAAGAGUUAAGGUUCCAAAAUUAUUGUUAAGUGAAACUAAGGAAGUUUCUAUCUAAUACAACUAGGAAAUAGGCUUAGAAGCGGCUAUUUUUUGAAGACCUCGUAACAGAGCACUGGUUUAGUAAACAAAACUUUACAUUGAUAGUUGCACCGAAAAUUUAACGGAUCUAAACAAUAUACCGACACCUUGUCCAUAUUGUUAAAUAUGAUUUAAUAUUUAACUAUGGGGUAGCAGAACGUUGGGUAAAUCUUGGACAUAUUCUUUUUAAGAGUAUAUAAAUAAUUUAGGCAUGCUUAAAUUAUUAGGUAACCCAAGUGAGAAUGCUGACAUGAGUAACGAAAAAGGGUCCUUUACAUCCGUUCUUAGGAACGUUGCAAGUAAUAUGGGGGGGGUAUCUAACAAAAGAUACCAUAGCCCUCGCCUAAAGCUUAUGGAUUUAUUAAAGUAACGGCCUCUAAGUUUAUUAACCUAAAGGAUUAAACGAUGAGUAAACCUUACCUACAAAGUAACAACAUCUUCUUACCUUGUGAUAAUAUUUAUACUCGCCCCUGCUUUGCAGGGGCGAGUAUAAAUAUUUAUACUCUGUAAGAAAAGUGAAGAAGGUUCUGGAAAAACUUGUAACAAGUAAUGUUUAUUUUAUUAUUUUAAAUAUAUUAAAAUAUAUGAAGAAUGACGAAAUAAGGCUAAAUAAACCGUACCUAAAUACUACCACAAGUAAGCAAGUAGAGAAUACGAAGG
This 1140-nucleotide ribosomal RNA is filed under the name Botrytis cinerea. RNAcentral describes it as "LSU rRNA". It matches the Rfam family "Bacterial large subunit ribosomal RNA", at positions 685 to 1686 of the family's 2925-position model. Lineage: Eukaryota; Fungi; Ascomycota; Leotiomycetes; Helotiales; Sclerotiniaceae. The record is from RNAcentral.